Molecule: long non-coding RNA, 676 nt
Organism: Oncorhynchus tshawytscha (Chinook salmon)
Lineage: Eukaryota; Metazoa; Chordata; Actinopteri; Salmoniformes; Salmonidae
Exons: 3
Source: RefSeq, a predicted model, not a curated record
UGUAACCAUAGAGGAACCAUUUUUUAUGCUAUAUAGAACCUUUAUUGUUAAUGGUUCUUUAUAGAACCUUAGGAAAGGGUUCUUUAUAGCACCAUAAAGGUUCCAAACUCUUUGGGGCUGGCUAGGUACCCCUUUUGUGAUAGAAAAUUCACCAGGGACCCCCUCAGAAUCAGAACACAACUCGAAUUUUACUAUGACUUCGGCAGUGCAUUGACGGACGAACCAAGUUUUGGGCCCUGCCCUGGGAAGAAACAUUUUAAAGGUUCGGGCGACUGAAUUCAAACGGAAUUGUGCAGGCAGCCACGGAAACCGGUCACACCUCAGAGCUCAUCCUGAUCCUCUGUUGGCUCAUCUCUCUCCCUCUCAUGUACUCCACAUCAUCAGCACCUGACCUCACCACAGUUUCGCCCAGCUUCCCAAUUAUCCCUGGUGUACUCAUACCUGCGUUCUCUGUUUGUCUGUUGCCAGUUCAUCUUGUUUGUCAAGCUUACCAGCAUUUGUCCUGUCAGAUCCUGUUUUUUCCCCAGCCUCUCCUUUUCUCACUCUCCUGGUUUUGACCCUCGCCUCAUCUGUCCUGUCUCUGUACCCACCUGCCUGACCACUCUGCCCGACCCUGCCUGCCAACCGGUACCCUGCCCCAUGUAUUAUUGACCCCUGCCUGCCUUGACCUGUCUCU